Molecule: long non-coding RNA, 1768 nt
Organism: Bubalus bubalis (water buffalo)
Lineage: Eukaryota; Metazoa; Chordata; Mammalia; Artiodactyla; Bovidae
Exons: 2
Source: RefSeq, a predicted model, not a curated record
CCAGGCAGGAGUACUGGAGUGGGGUGCCAUUGCCUUCUCCACUGGAAUACAUUAUUUAAGCAUUUGAGAGUUCUAGGCAAGUGUUGGCUUUAUAUACAAUGUAUUUCCGUCUAUGUACAUAAGAUGUGUGUGAGUGCUUAGUGGCUCAGUCAUGUCCAACUCUUUGUGACCCCGUGGACUGUAGCCUGCCAGACUCCUCUGACCAUGGAAUUUUGCAGGCAAGGAUGCUGGAGGGGGUUGCCAUUUUCUACUCCGUUAAUAUGUACCUAUCUGCUUUUAUAUGCCAAGAAUAUCAUUGGGAGGAGACAUCAACAAACUGGGGUGGAGGGGGAACAGACAGGAAUUUUGCAGUGAGAGGGAAGACAGAUUUUUCACACUUUUGGGCUGUCUGAAUUUUAAAAAACAAUUUUCUUUUGAUUAUCAUUAAUAUGGUUAAAAACUCAUUAAAAAAUCCUUUUUAAGAAGGGUGGAAGUGUGUGUGUGUGCGCGUGUGUGCGUGUGCAGGGGAGGUUGGUGCAAUCUGGGGAAGGGUGGAGUGAGGUCUCAGAAAGGACAGAGAACCAAGAAAGGGAGAGGAGGGGCCGGAUUUAAGAAACUUUGUAACAGAGUCAACAGGAUGUUGCUGAAUGGGCGGGGCUGAGAUGACUGAGGUUUGCAGUCUGAAGAUGCUAUAACCUAGAUAUGAGAUGCUGUCUGCUAGAUGUCAAACCUACUCUCCUCUUCACCCCCAGUGAAUAGCCCUACUUCCUGCAAACGUGGUGAUGGCUAUUGCAGUGGGGCCUCAGGGCUAUACCCCUUACUGGGAAGAGGGGCAGCUUGCAUGGUGAGUUCUAAGGCAGAGAAAGGAGACAGAAGCCUUCAUUCCCCUUCAACAGGAAAUGCCCAGCUGAUGGUGUUGUGGCUCACACAGUCCUCCCACAGUCUGUCCCCCAGUCUAACUGUUGCUGAGAGACAUGCACAGUGGUAGCCGGGCAGUGGAGGGGCAAAAAUCAGAGAUGGAGGGAACCAGGGACAUUCAAGAGAUUGUGAAGUGUGAAAGCGAAAGUCACUCAGUCGUGUCUGACUCUUUGCGACCCCAUGGACUGUAGCCCAUCAGCCUCCUGUCCAUGGGAUUCUCUAGGUAAGAAUACUGGAAUGGGUUGCCAUUCCCUUCUAUAGGGGUUCUUUCUGACCCCGGGAUCAAACCUGGGUCUCCCGCAUUGCAAGCAGAUUCUUUACUGUCUGAGCCACCAGGGAAGCCCCCACCCAGUUCAAGAGACAGGUUAAAUGUUUGUGUAAUGGCUGACUAAUAACAGGGUUGUUGAGGCACAGUUGCACAACUGGGAUUUUUUUUUUCUCCAGCCACGCUCAGCUUUCCAGGUAGGUCUGGAUCCUGAAGAAGGCUCUUCUGACCAGUUUUUCUUCGAUACCUAUCUCCCAUCCUCCAGGGCCAGCCUCUUGUGCGCCAAUCUCCUGGUUCUGCGCAGACUCACUGGAGCUUUUGGGCAGUCCGUCACCCACGCUGACUGUGAGGGCCUUGCCGCUAGCCUUGAGCACCGCCACGUCGCCGGAACCACGCGAGAAAGUGACGCUUCGGGUACCACCUCCGCCCCAGCCCUCCUUCUUCACCCGGAACUGUAGUCUGUGAGGAGAGGAGGAAGCUGUGGUUGUCCCCACCCGCCAAGCAGGGGUCACCUCCUCAUCCCAUCCUUGCGGACCCGGGCUGAGAUGGGAGGGGACAAGGCAAGGGCGCAUUUCGGUCAGUCUGUGAAGCGGGGGAGGGGGCGCU